This 460-nucleotide ribosomal RNA is filed under the name uncultured bacterium. Its description in RNAcentral is "partial 16S ribosomal RNA". It matches the Rfam family "Bacterial small subunit ribosomal RNA", at positions 338 to 795 of the family's 1533-position model. The record is from RNAcentral.
CCUACGGGUGGCAGCAGUGAGGAAUAUUGGUCAAUGGACGAGAGUCUGAACCAGCCAAGUAGCGUGAAGGAUGACUGCCCUAUGGGUUGUAAACUUCUUUUAUAUGGGAAUAAAAUGUUCCACGUGUGGGAUUUUGUAUGUACCAUAUGAAUAAGGAUCGGCUAACUCCGUGCCAGCAGCCGCGGUAAUACGGAGGAUCCGAGCGUUAUCCGGAUUUAUUGGGGUUAAAGGGAGCGUAGGUGGAUUGUUAAGUCAGUUGUGAAAGUUUGCGGCUCAACCGUAAAAUUGCAGUUGAAACUGGCAGUCGUGAGUACAGUAGAGGUGGGCGGAAGUCGUGGUGUAGCGGUGAAAUGCUUAGAUAUCACGAAGAACUCCGAUUGCGAAGGCAGCUCACUGGACUGCAACUGACACUGAGGCUCGAAAGUGUGGGUAUCAAACAGGAUUAGAUACCCUAGUAGUC